CGCGCAUUAAGAGCGCGGGCGCGAGGACAUUAACAUUAGAAUGCAGCAGACUCCUCGCAUUAGCGCGACAGCUUGCGCCGGGGAGCCCCGCGCAAUUUGCAACCUGAACGUUCGCACCUCCGUUUCUCUGCCACCUCGUUAAUUACCGUCACUUGCCAGAGGCAAUAAUUACAGUGUUUCACAGCUAUCCGCGAGGUGAGGCUGGAGCUCUUCUGGUUUCACAGCAACACCGGGCUUUUCCCCCAGCGUCCCUGCCAGCAUUUUGCUGGCAUUAUCCGAGCAGCUCACCAGUGUUCCCUCAGGAAGAAUCAGCCGAACCAAACUGUGAAAAUGACUCCAGCUUUAACCGGAUCGUACCCCGUUCAGAGAUCCAGAACACACCCAAGAAUCUGCCACCUCCACUGCCUUCAUCACCAUAACUACGGGAUGCAUGUAAACACACAUUGUACACUGAGUCUUUCAUCGAGCUGUCCAGUGCGGAGACGUGUCCUCCUUCCCUGUGCUGAAGGGGAGAGCACAUCCACAGCAUUUUUCAUCUGUAAUGGAGAACAGGAGGGACGUGUCACACUGGACCUCACCUCUGAGUUCAGCCUGAUGGGGGCUUGAGCAACACAGCUAUCACGCUGUCCAGGGACUCUGAAAAGAGAUGGGAGAGGGAGAGAGGCAGAAAGAGAGAGAGAGAGAAGACUGAAAAGAAGACAUAAUAUUGAAAAUAGAGGGAAACAUUACUGCAGUAUAACCGUCAUAAUUUUUACAGAGAUCUGACUUAUAAGCGUCCCCUUAAGAAGCGGAAGAUCUGAGAGGUUUCAGCGGGUCAGAUAUACACCAAUUAAUUCACCGCUGAGCUGGAGCAGUCUGGCUGAACUGCAUGAAAUUAAAACAUUAAAUACUCGCUCUGUCCUUCUGUCCUGGUCCUUAGAUCACACAGAGAGAAAGCCACAGAGCCCGAUCAAGCAGAAACAUUACUGUCAUACAUGGGCCCUGGCAACAAUGAAUAAUUUCCCAGGAAAAAAACAAUCUAAUAUUCUUCUAGAUAAUACUGUGGUGUCUUUUUUUGUUUUGUUUUGUUUUUUGGCUUUUCUUACCCGGUGAAGUCCUCUGUAAGUAGCUGUGUCCUCUGUAAUAAUCGGGUGAACUUUGUAAAUAAGUUUGAAUUAUCUCCUGCUGAGUGCAGAUGGUAUCAGUCUGAUUUGUUUACAUUUUUGCCCUGUCUGCAAGAGAGAAUUAUUAUGUCCCUAAAUCCAUAAAAACACUGUUUUUCUUUAAACCUCUUCCAUGACUCACUACCUAAAAGGACUACCUAAAACUUUGGGAAACUUUUUAUUGCCCGGGAUUUCUAUUCAAUGCAGGAAAUGCCGCCAUUUUACCAUGGCAAUGAGACCUGCUUUCUUGUGUGGUGGAUUGUGAAUCUCUCCCGUCUGGUGGUGGGCUGUGUAAAGUUCACGUGCUGAGUUGAGACAGUGCUCAUUGUCUCAGGACGCUGACAAAUAUGUUUUUAAUGAACUGGUGAUGGAUAAACGAGAAAAUGGAACGACUGAGAAUUCAUGCUAUUUAUCUUAAUGAUAGAUACCUGGCAGGGGAUUAACUGUUUAAAAGAAUGCACAUUUGAGUUUCUGUUCAUAUUGAGACAUUUUGUAUUUGGGAAUUGUUGAAACGCCCCAUUGAAAAAAGAAAUCCAACAAUGUGUAUCGCAUUCAUGUGGUAAGAUCAGAUUGUAUGUGGACAAACAAUCUUAUUUCUUUAUUAUUUAAUUAGUAUUGAAGUCUUAGGCUAUUGGGCUCAACACAAAAUGUGAACACUUUCUCAGAGAGCUCAGUUUCCCUUAAAUAGGUCAGAGAGAACAGGAAGAAUCCUUCAGUUUCCGGUUGGAAAACUGGGAUUUAGCCAAAUGCUAUUUUGAAUGAUGUUGAAGUCCAGUGUUUAUGAGCUUAGAAGUAAAAUAAAGAUUAAACAUCACUGAGCUGACUGGUUGGCUAUUCGUAGUGAAUCCAACUUUAUCCCACACAGAGUCAAUUGUUUGAUGAUUCUUUAAAAUUCAUACAACGGGAAAAAAAGGGGAAAAAAUCAGCCAGAUGAAAGCACAGAUGGUGUUUGUUUGGGCAUAUUAAAAUCUUCUGAGGACCAGCUAUUGUACUUUUCAUGAGCUCUGUGUGUUCCAAAGUCAUUCCAAACGAGGAAUUAAAUAUCGGCAUUAACACAGACGCCGUAAUCCAAACAAGGCAAAGACACACAAAGUCAAUAAAAUUCUGUGUCCCGAGAGCAAGGUUGGAAUCCCAUUGGCUGCGGCUCUUCUGCUUGUAAAACAGUGGCCUGGUCCUCCCCGCUCCUACACCCGAACUGCUGAAAGGCUAUG
Long non-coding RNA from Anguilla rostrata (American eel), 2353 nucleotides. RefSeq lists it as uncharacterized. The record is from RefSeq and is a predicted model, not a curated record. Lineage: Eukaryota; Metazoa; Chordata; Actinopteri; Anguilliformes; Anguillidae. The transcript has 3 exons.